This 239-nucleotide non-coding RNA is filed under the name Schistocephalus solidus. RNAcentral describes it as "Eukaryotic small subunit ribosomal RNA". It matches the Rfam family "Eukaryotic small subunit ribosomal RNA", at positions 442 to 620 of the family's 1831-position model. The record is from Rfam by way of RNAcentral. Lineage: Eukaryota; Metazoa; Platyhelminthes; Cestoda; Diphyllobothriidea; Diphyllobothriidae.
GACCCAAUUUGGGGCUUAAAACCUCGUUGCUGUGUCACACAGCAGCUGAAACGUCGGCGAAACAUUUCCCAGUACGGACAGGUGGUGACGAAAAUUACCGAUGCGGGACUCUUAUUGAGGCUACGUUAUCGGAAUGAGUGAACUGUAAUCCUUUCACGAGGAUCAAUUGGAGGGCAAGUCUGGUGCCAGCAGCCGUUGUAACUGUAGCUCCAAUAGCUUAUAUUAAAGUUGCUGUGGUU